UACGGGGGGGGCAAGCGUUGUUCGGAAUUACUGGGCGUAAAGGGCUCGUAGGCGGCCAACUAAGUCAGACGUGAAAUCCCUCGGCUUAACCGGGGAACUGCGUCUGAUACUGGAUGGCUUGAGUUUGGGAGAGGGAUGCGGAAUUCCAGGUGUAGCGGUGAAAUGCGUAGAUAUUGGGAGGAACACCGGUGGCGAAGGCGGCUACCUGGACCGGUACUGACGCUGAGGCGCGAAAGCUAGGGUAGCAAACAGG
This 253-nucleotide ribosomal RNA is filed under the name uncultured bacterium. RNAcentral describes it as "partial 16S ribosomal RNA". It matches the Rfam family "Bacterial small subunit ribosomal RNA", at positions 524 to 776 of the family's 1533-position model. The record is from RNAcentral.